UACGAGAGGCCCAAACAUUAUUCGGAAUUACUGGGCUUAAAGAGUUCGUAGGCGGCCUGGCAAGUCGGGUGUGAAAUCCCUCGGCUCAACCGAGGAAUUGCGCUCUAAACUGCCGUGCUAGAGGAAGCUAGAGGUGAGCGGAACUGAUGGUGGAGCGGUGAAAUGCGUUGAUAUCAUCAGGAACACCGGAGGCGAAGGCGGCUCACUGGGGCUUUUCUGACGCUGAGGAACGAAAGCCAGGGUAGCGAACGGG
This 253-nucleotide ribosomal RNA is filed under the name uncultured bacterium. Its description in RNAcentral is "partial 16S ribosomal RNA". It matches the Rfam family "Bacterial small subunit ribosomal RNA", at positions 524 to 776 of the family's 1533-position model. The record is from RNAcentral.